Non-coding RNA from Marchantia polymorpha subsp. ruderalis, 166 nucleotides. The record is from the annotation of a GenBank genome assembly. NCBI's taxonomy places the organism in Eukaryota, Viridiplantae, Streptophyta, Marchantiopsida, Marchantiales, Marchantiaceae.
UACUUGUGAUGACAUGUUUCACAUUCUCUGAAAAUGACAAAGCAGGUGGCUGUAUGUACCAGUCUACAUUUACUACUGCAGGAUAUCGAAGGAGGAAAUGUAGACUGUUACAUACAGCCACCUGUAUUGUAAACUUCAGAGAAUGUGGAACAUGUCAUCACAAGUA